Molecule: ribosomal RNA, 225 nt
Filed under: uncultured bacterium
Lineage: Bacteria
Description: partial 16S ribosomal RNA
Rfam family: Bacterial small subunit ribosomal RNA
Source: RNAcentral
CGGAACACGUACACAACCUUCCUUUAAGUGGGGGAUAGCCCAGAGAAAUUUGGAUUAAUACCCCGUAAGAUUAUCGAGUGGCAUCAUUGGAUAAUCAAAGCUACGGCGCUUGGAGAUGGGUGUGCGUCUGAUUAGGUAGUUGGUAGGGGUAACGGCCCACCAAGCCAGCGAUCAGUAACUGGUGCGAGAGCACGACCAGUCACACGGGCACUGAGCACGGGCCCG